CGAAAGAGUGGCUAAUACCGGAUAUGACCACGUUCGGGCAUCCGACGGUGGUGGAAAGGAUUCUGGUCUGGGAUGGGCCCGCGGCCUAUCAGCUAGUUGGUGGGUAAUGGCCUACCAAGGCGACGACGGGUAGCCGGCCUGAGAGGGCGACCGGCCACACUGGGACUGAGACACGGCCCAGACUCCUACGGGAGGCAGCAGGUGGGGAAUAUUGCGCAAUGGGCGAAAGCCUGACGCAGCGACGCCGCGUGAGGGACGAAGGUCUUCGGAUUGUAAACCUCUUUCAGCAGGGACGAAGCGAAAGUGACUGUACCUGCAGAAGAAGCACCGGCUAACUACGUG
This 342-nucleotide ribosomal RNA is filed under the name uncultured bacterium. Its description in RNAcentral is "bacterial SSU rRNA". It matches the Rfam family "Bacterial small subunit ribosomal RNA", at positions 152 to 507 of the family's 1533-position model. The record is from RNAcentral.